UUGGCUGGCUGGGCAGUCGCCGCUUACUUCGGUAGGGGGAGGAAAGUCCGGACUUCGCAGGGUAAAGUGCCAGGUAACGCCUGGGGAGCGAAAGCUCACGGCAAGUGCAGCAGAAAAUAUACCGCCGAUGGCGUUUGUGAAAACGGACGAACAGGUAAGGUUGAAAUGGUGCGGUAAGAGCGCACCGCGCUUAUGGCAACAUAAGUGGCAUGGUAAACCCCACUUGAAGUAAGACCAAAUAGGGAUCCUACAGGUGUGACCCGCACUGGAUCCGGGUAGGUUGCUUGAGCUUUGUGGCGACGCAAAGCCUAGAAGAAUGACUGUCCCAGACAGAAUCCGGCUUACAGGCCAGCCAAAUUU
RNAcentral lists this RNase P RNA (360 nucleotides) under Pleionea mediterranea. Its description in RNAcentral is "Alcanivoracaceae bacterium MOLA 115 Bacterial RNase P class A". It matches the Rfam family "Bacterial RNase P class A". From Rfam's summary of the family: Ribonuclease P (RNase P) is a ubiquitous endoribonuclease, found in archaea, bacteria and eukarya as well as chloroplasts and mitochondria. Its best characterised activity is the generation of mature 5'-ends of tRNAs by cleaving the 5'-leader elements of precursor-tRNAs. Cellular RNase Ps are ribonucleoproteins. Lineage: Bacteria; Pseudomonadati; Pseudomonadota; Gammaproteobacteria; Oceanospirillales; Pleioneaceae. The record is from Rfam by way of RNAcentral.